RNAcentral lists this ribosomal RNA (613 nucleotides) under uncultured bacterium. RNAcentral describes it as "bacterial SSU rRNA". It matches the Rfam family "Bacterial small subunit ribosomal RNA", at positions 135 to 748 of the family's 1533-position model. The record is from RNAcentral.
ACUGGGGGAUAACACUUAGAAAUAGGUGCUAAUACCGCAUAAGCGCACAGCUUCGCAUGAAGCAGUGUGAAAAACUCCGGUGGUAUACGAUGGAUCCGCGUCUGAUUAGCUGGUUGGCGGGGUAACAGCCCACCAAGGCGACGAUCAGUAGCCGGCCUGAGAGGGUGAACGGCCACAUUGGGACUGAGACACGGCCCAAACUCCUACGGGAGGCAGCAGUGGGAAAUAUUGCACAAUGGGGGAAACCCUGAUGCAGCGACCCCGCGUGAGUGAAGAAGUAUUUCGGUAUGUAAAGCUCUAUCAGCAGGGAAGAAAUACUGACCUUACGGUCAGCAGACGGUACCUGACUAAGAAGCCCCGGCUAACUACGUGCCAGCAGCCGCGGUAAUACGUAGGGGGCAAGCGUUAUCCGGAUUUACUGGGUGUAAAGGGAGCGUACACGGCAGCGCAAGUCUGAAGUGAAAUCCCAUGGCUUAACCAUGGAACUGCUUUGGAAACUGUGCAGCUGGAGUGCAGGAGAGGUAAGCGGAAUUCCUAGUGUAGCGGUGAAAUGCGUAGAUAUUAGGAGGAACACCAGUGGCGAAGGCGGCUUACUGGACUGUAACUGACGUUG